This 318-nucleotide ribosomal RNA is filed under the name uncultured bacterium. RNAcentral's name for it is "bacterial SSU rRNA". It matches the Rfam family "Bacterial small subunit ribosomal RNA", at positions 28 to 342 of the family's 1533-position model. The record is from RNAcentral.
AUUGAACGCUGGCGGAAUGCUUUACACAUGCAAGUCGAGCGGCAGCGCGGGGCAACCUGGCGGCGAGCGGCGAACGGGUGAGUAAUGCAUCGGAACAUGUCCAUGUCGUGGGGGAUAGCCCGGCGAAAGCCGGAUUAAUACCGCAUACGCCCGACGAGGGGAAAGGACCGGGGACCGGCAGGGCCGUGGCGCGAUUGGGUUGGGCCGAUGUCCGAUCAGCUAGUUGGUGGGGUAAAGGACCCACCAAGGCGAUGAUCGGUAGCUGGUCUGAGAGGAUGAUCAGCCACACUGGGACUGAGAGACGGCCCAGACUCCUAC